RNAcentral lists this ribosomal RNA (457 nucleotides) under uncultured Sphingobacteriales bacterium. RNAcentral's name for it is "bacterial SSU rRNA". It matches the Rfam family "Bacterial small subunit ribosomal RNA", at positions 923 to 1382 of the family's 1533-position model. Lineage: Bacteria; Pseudomonadati; Bacteroidota; Sphingobacteriia; Sphingobacteriales. The record is from RNAcentral.
GCACAAGCGGAGGAACAUGUGGUUAAUUCGAUGAUACGCGAGGAACCUUACCUGGGCUUAAAUGUAGAGUGCAUUUUUUAGAGAUAGAAAUUCCCUUCGGGGCUUUCUGCAAGGUGCUGCAUGGUUGUCGUCAGCUCGUGCCGUGAGGUGUCGGGUUAAGUCCCAUAACGAGCGCAACCCUUAUCGUUAGUUGCCAGCUGGUAAAGCAGGGGACUCUAGCGAAACUGCCACCGUAAGGUGAGAGGAAGGUGGGAUGACGUCAAAUCAGCACGGCCCUUAUGUCCAGGGCUACACACGUGUUACAAUGGCCGGCACAGAGGGCAGCUACCUGGUGACAGGAUGCUAAUCUCGAAAACCGGUCUCAGUUCGGAUCGAAGUCUGCAACUCGACUUCGUGAAGCUGGAUUCGCUAGUAAUCGCGCAUCAGCCAUGCCGCGGUGAAUACGUUCCCGGGCCUU